Molecule: non-coding RNA, 377 nt
Filed under: Solanum lycopersicum (tomato)
Lineage: Eukaryota; Viridiplantae; Streptophyta; Magnoliopsida; Solanales; Solanaceae
Description: Bacterial large subunit ribosomal RNA
Rfam family: Bacterial large subunit ribosomal RNA
Source: Rfam by way of RNAcentral
AGAGGAUCUACUUGGAAUUGAUUGCAGUUUAGGAGGGAACUCUGGAGCAACAUUUUGAACUGCUGCUGAAUUAAUGGACAGGCCAGAGAGAAUCAGGCAAACUGAAAGAUCUUAGUAUCAAGAGGAAAAGAAAGCAAAAGUGAUUCCCGUAGUAGUGCGGGGUCAAUAAUGAGCUGCCUAAACCGUGAAAACGGGGUUGUGGGAGUGCAAUACAAGCGUCGUACAGCUAGACGAAACAUCCCGAAUGUUGCAGCCUAGAUGGAGGAAGUAUAGUAGCCGAAAGCAUCACUAGCUUAGGCUCACACCUGAGUAGCAGCCAGAUCGUCUGAAGCAUGAACAGAAUCGCAUUUGUUCUGAAGGCCUAGUGAGUUUCUUUU